RNAcentral lists this ribosomal RNA (257 nucleotides) under uncultured bacterium. RNAcentral describes it as "partial 16S ribosomal RNA". It matches the Rfam family "Bacterial small subunit ribosomal RNA", at positions 524 to 776 of the family's 1533-position model. The record is from RNAcentral.
UACGUAGGGCGCAAGCGUUGUCCGGAAUUAUUGGGCGUAAAGAGCUCGUAGGCGGUUUGUCGCGUCUGCUGUGAAAACCUAAGGCUCAACCUUGGGCUUGCAGUGGGUACGGGCAGACUAGAGUGCGGUAGGGGUGACUGGAAUUCCUGGUGUAGCGGUGGAAUGCGCAGAUAUCAGGAGGAACACCGAUGGCGAAGGCAGGUCACUGGGCCGCAACUGACGCUGGAGGAGCGGAAAAUGCAUGGGGAGCGAACAGG